GACGAACGCUGGCGGCGUGCUUAACACAUGCAAGUCGAACGGAAAGGCCCUGCUUUUGUGGGGUGCUCGAGUGGCGAACGGGUGAGUAACACGUGAGUAACCUGCCCUUGACUUUGGGAUAACUUCAGGAAACUGGGGCUAAUACCGGAUAGGAGCUCCUGCUGCAUGGUGGGGGUUGGAAAGUUUCGGCGGUUGGGGAUGGACUCGCGGCUUAUCAGCUUGUUGGUGGGGUAGUGGCUUACCAAGGCUUUGACGGGUAGCCGGCCUGAGAGGGUGACCGGCCACAUUGGGACUGAGAUCCGGCCCAGACUCCUACGGGAGGCAGCAGUGGGGAAUAUUGCACAAUGGGCGGAAGCCUGAUGCAGCAACGCCGCGUGCGGGAUGACGGCUUUCGGGUUGUAAACCGCUUUCGCCUGUGACGAAGCGUGAGGGACGGUAAUGGGUAAAGAAGCACCGGCGAACUACG
Molecule: ribosomal RNA, 466 nt
Filed under: uncultured bacterium
Lineage: Bacteria
Description: partial 16S ribosomal RNA
Rfam family: Bacterial small subunit ribosomal RNA
Source: RNAcentral